RNAcentral lists this ribosomal RNA (497 nucleotides) under uncultured bacterium. RNAcentral's name for it is "partial 16S ribosomal RNA". It matches the Rfam family "Bacterial small subunit ribosomal RNA", at positions 28 to 507 of the family's 1533-position model. The record is from RNAcentral.
GAUGAACGCUGGCGGCGUGCCUAAUACAUGCAAGUCGAGCGAACAGACGAGGAGCUUGCUCCUCUGACGUUAGCGGCGGAAGGGUGAGUAACACGUGGAUAACCUACCUAUAAGACUGGGAUAACUUCGGGAAACCGGAGCUAAUACCGGAUAAUAUAUUGAACCGCAUGGUUCAAUAGUGAAAGACGGUUUUGCUGUCACUUAUAGAUGGAUCCGCGCCGCAUUAGCUAGUUGGUAAGGUAACGGCUUACCAAGGCAACGAUGCGUAGCCGACCUGAGAGGGUGAUCGGCCACACUAGAACUGAGACACGGUCCAGACUCCUACGGGAGGCAGCAGUAGGGAAUCUUCCGCAAUGGGCGAAAGCCUGACGGAGCAACGCCGCGUGGGUGAUGAAGGUCUUCGGAUCGUAAAACUCUGUUAUUAGGGAAGAACAAAUGUGUAAGUAACUAUGCACGUCUUGACGGUACCUAAUCAGAAAGCCACGGCUAACUACGUG